This 897-nucleotide ribosomal RNA is filed under the name uncultured bacterium. RNAcentral describes it as "bacterial SSU rRNA". It matches the Rfam family "Bacterial small subunit ribosomal RNA", at positions 1 to 908 of the family's 1533-position model. The record is from RNAcentral.
UCGCCCUUAGAGUUUGAUCCUGGCUCAGGACGAACGCUGGCGGCGCGCCUAACACAUGCAAGUCGAACGGAGUCAAGAGGAGCUUGCUUUUCUUGACUUAGUGGCGAACGGGUGAGUAACGCGUGAGUAACCUGCCCUGGAGUGGGGGACAACAGUUGGAAACGACUGCUAAUACCGCAUAAGCCCACGGCCCGGCAUCGGGCUGAGGGAAAAGGAUUUAUUCGCUUCAGGAUGGACUCGCGUCCAAUUAGCUAGUUGGUGAGGUAACGGCCCACCAAGGCGACGAUUGGUAGCCGGACUGAGAGGUUGAACGGCCACAUUGGGACUGAGACACGGCCCAGACUCCUACGGGAGGCAGCAGUGGGGGAUAUUGCACAAUGGGGGAAACCCUGAUGCAGCGACGCCGCGUGGAGGAAGAAGGUUUUCGGAUUGUAAACUCCUGUCGUUAGGGACGAUAAUGACGGUACCUAACAAGAAAGCACCGGCUAACUACGUGCCAGCAGCCGCGGUAAAACGUAGGGUGCAAGCGUUGUCCGGAAUUACUGGGUGUAAAGGGAGCGCAGGCGGACCGGCAAGUUGGAAGUGAAAACUAUGGGCUCAACCCAUAAAUUGCUUUCAAAACUGCUGGCCUUGAGUAGUGCAGAGGUAGGUGGAAUUCCCGGUGUAGCGGUGGAAUGCGUAGAUAUCGGGAGGAACACCAGUGGCGAAGGCGACCUACUGGGCACCAACUGACGCUGAGGCUCGAAAGCAUGGGUAGCAAACAGGAUUAGAUACCCUGGUAGUCCAUGCCGUAAACGAUGAUUACUAGGUGUUGGAGGAUUGACCCCUUCAGUGCCGCAGUUAACACAAUAAGUAAUCCACCUGGGGAGUACGGCCGCAAGGUUGAAACUCAAAUGA